RNAcentral lists this ribosomal RNA (250 nucleotides) under uncultured bacterium. Its description in RNAcentral is "partial 16S ribosomal RNA". It matches the Rfam family "Bacterial small subunit ribosomal RNA", at positions 353 to 598 of the family's 1533-position model. The record is from RNAcentral.
GGAUGAGAAUCUUCGGCAAUGGGCGAAAGCCUGACCGAGCGACGCCGCGUGCGGGAUGAAGGCCUUCGGGUUGUAAACCGCUGUCAGAGGGGAUGAAGUGCUGGAGGGUACUCCCUCCAGCUUGACUGAUCCUCAGAGGAAGGGUGGGCUAAGUUCGUGCCAGCAGCCGCGGUAAGACGUACCACCCAAACGUUAUUCGGAAUUACUGGGCUUAAAGAGUCCGUAGGCGGCUCGGAAAGUUGGAUGUGAA